UAAACCGCCCUUUUUAGGGCGACUGAAUUUAGUACAAAAGAGUUAUU
This is a non-coding RNA of Culex pipiens (northern house mosquito), 47 nucleotides long. The record is from Rfam. NCBI's taxonomy places the organism in Eukaryota, Metazoa, Arthropoda, Insecta, Diptera, Culicidae.